This 4121-nucleotide long non-coding RNA is filed under the name Homo sapiens (human). RNAcentral's name for it is "PREDICTED lncRNA (TCONS_00203929)". The record is from RNAcentral. Lineage: Eukaryota; Metazoa; Chordata; Mammalia; Primates; Hominidae.
CAGGAACACUCCAAGUUCCACAGUUAAAGAGGACCGGGAGGGCAGGAAUGGGUGGGGCCUGGAAAUCAGCUCCGAAACUGGGUGCGGCACACCUUCCUCUGCCUUUCUGCCUCUCUCCCGGCCACUGCUGCUCCACGGGAGCCAGUCUUGGAUACCUAGGGUGGGGGACAGGGGGACGGGAAGAGCCUCGGUUGUCUCCAGAACCUGCCGAGCCCCUGCUGCAUCUGGGACCCGCCUUCACCGUUUCCCAAUCCCAGCGGUUAGCCCCUGCGCCCCCUUUUUGGUCUCCACUUUGCCGUUCGAAAAUGCCUAGGUUGGUGGAUCGACCCUCCGCGGAGCAAAGACGGAUGGCUGGCAGGAGCAGGUUCAGGAGCUGGGCCAAGUUUCACACGAAGAGACUUGGAGUAUCUGGAGAAGGUUUUUGAAGACGUUUAGGAGGGAGGGUGAGUUUUCUGCUGAGAAACUCAAUCUGCCAUACAGUAGCGGCCCCAUCUGGGAUCUGUCACUGCUGACAGCACCAGAGGGCACAGCCGUGAUCUUCUGCACAGCCUGCACUCCCCGAAAUACCCUCCUUAAUCAAAGGAUGUCUGCGCGCCUGAGCUCAGCUGACCGCGCCGGGAGCACCAGGGCCGUUGGAUUCCACCCCAGCCCGCCCCCUCCCCACGCACACAGCCACGGCCCCUCGCGUCUUCGCGGCACGUUAAUUAAAUGCGGAAAACAGACAGAGGCUGAUGUCAUUGCUCUCACAAGAUCAUAAACGUAAAAGAGUCAUCCUGUGAGAAUCCCUGAAAAUGACUUUAAUGAAUAAUUUCAGAGACAGUUAUGACUUUGGGUGAUUACUGAGCAAGAAUAUGAAAACCAGAUUUGCAAAGCGAAGGCGAUGGUCAAAAGGCCUGGCAGUUACUUUCUCUCAUUAAAACCGCACCGGCUUUCCUUCUUCGCCAAGUACUAGUUACCAACUGAGGUUGCGUUUUCAGGUUUUCUUCUUCAAAAUAACAGUCUUCUUUUCCUGCUUUUCUGCCUUAUCCUAAAGACAAAAUGUCAGCUCCAGGGAACGACAUUAACAACCCACUUUAAAUUGAAGGCAACUCUGCACUGGCGUCAGUGGCCAUUGGCUUCCAUCUUUUUACAAAGGUUGGAUUUACUGCCAUCUUAGGAUCAUAUCUCUUUUGGCCUCUUCUCUAGGCAAUGUAUUUAAUGAAGGUUGAACAUUCUCACUGACCCUGAGUCAGUGCACUGUUUGUUGUAAAGGAUCUCAGCUGGUGGGGCAAAAAACAAGUUCCAAACAACCUGCCUUUACAGAAGAGUCUCCCUGACUCUUUAGUUCUAGGUCACCAAUGAACUGAAAAAUGAUUUGGUGCUACAUUAAGGAAUAUUUUCAAACACUCCAUCUGGCCAUGGAGAAGCAUCCAGUUGGUUAUAUCUGGUUGCUCAUGCAUUAAAAAUACUAUUUGAGAAAACAACUAGGGUGUUAGUUGUGGAAGUGGCCUGGUGAGUACCCUCUGAUCUUUUGCACGAAGUUUAGCUGCCUGCAAGUCUGUCUUCUUUGCUUGAAAAUAUAAACUGGGACUCUCUGGGCCUGUGUCCCAUGUGGAUUUAUUCCACUUAAUUCAAGUAAAAGUUUGUUUAUACUCUGAGCAAGAAAGUAUUAUAGGCACAAGUGAUGUGGAGUUUUCAGUUUGCUUGUUUUUUGCUGUUGUUUGUUUGCUUUUGAGCGAUCUGAGUGAUUUAGAAAACUAAUGUGUCUCAGUCGGCUCCACCAUUCAGACAGAUCAUAGAGAACCCACUUACCAGCACUCUAGAAAACUGUACUUUGUGCAGACAUUGCCUGAUCCUCCCCUUUCUAGAAGCACAGAUAGGCCAGAAUCCUUCAGUCACUGAGGACACAAUUGUCUAAAAGCCUCAUUCCCUAUCAUUAGCCCCCAAACCGCAGAGCUGUUUCCUUCCCUCUUGGCUCCAGAUAGGGGUGGGUGGGAGAGGGGACUAGGCUCUCCAUGUGACAUUUCCCUGACUUGAGAGGAAAUGUUUCUUUCUGAUUCUAGAUUACAUGAAGACACUUUGGAGUUGGUGUAUAGGGUUUCCUCAAAGAACUGAGGUAACGUGGACUUUAGGGAAUUUUCCUCAAUUGGAUUCCCUGUUUAUUUGUGAUACUAUUUGUGUCCCCCAAAUAGAUCUUCUUGUUGCUCCACUCACAUCAUGAGCAGUUUUCCUUUUCCUCUAGUUACAUUCACUCUAGCUUCUGACUGAAGACUCUGCUUGCCCUUUGUAGCCCGUGCAGGAAUAAACAGCAUCUUCUGGAUUUGCUUUGAAUCCUUGUGCUGCCCAAUGAGUCAGAGGUGUAGGGUUGAUCCAAUAAUAUGGCUAAUUCUCUCCCUGUAAAGACUUUAAAUAAUGUAGGCCUCUCUUCACCCAUCCCCCAUUCUCACCAUCCUGGACUUCACGCGGGUCAUGGAGAAGGUGUCCAGGGUGGGAGGCACGCUGGGUGGGUGUGGCCUCCUUUGGCACAGUGGUUCGGCAUCCUCUGGGGGAGAUUUUGAAAACUGCAGGCUCCGCGUCGAGCCCCUGACCUGCUGAAUCAGAAUUUCUGGUGAAGGUAGGGUGAAAACGGGGCUGAAUUUGUCAUUGUAUCAAGUUGUCCGGGGAGUGGAAAGUCCAGGUGUUGGAUUAAUCCCAGCACCCCUUACUUCAGAAGAGACCAGGCUAUCCCGCAGAACGCUAGGGUCAGAGGUCUGGGGCAUCAGUCAGCCCGUCCAGGAAUUAUGCAAAUAUAUGCAGCCUCUACUCUGAACACUGGGACGUAGUAGGGGACAAAGCUGCCGCCAGCCGUCCUCGUCCUUGCGAGGUGUCAGUGUUUGCGCCAGGGACAACUCCCUGGAGGGCUGGGGGAAGGGAGGGGCAAAAGAGGGUCCAGGGCCUCAGCUCGCUAUGUACUUUAGGGUUUAAUAACAGGUGCAAAGGCAGCUGCUAAAAGACAUCGCAUUCUGUAAUCAGCUUCUGCCAGGCUGUCCGGCUAAACAGAAACUCCCACAAUUUUGGCCCGAGGGCUGUAGGGCGGAGCGGGUGCCAGUGAGAUGAGGGCAACCCUAAGAGGUGGCAUAAGAGCCUUACCCCUAAGAGCCACCCCAACCCCAUCCGGGGCUUGCACCGGCACCGCCUGGGCCGCAGUUGUUGCCUCAGGGAAGCUUCGCCCUGGCGCAGGGAUAGAGCAAAGAAGCGACCGCAUGUGGAAGGCUUUCCAGGCGGAAUGCUCCAGCCGUAGCGAGUUGGAAAAUUUAGAGUGGGGAGGGGGCAGUAGAGAUGUUAACUGGCCCCUCCUCACCCCAAACAAGGAAAACACAGUCUUCUGGGCUAAAAAUACAUAUUUAUGAAGUCCCUAUACGCAGGCAGGCGGCGCGUUCCAGCUGCCGGCCUGGCCCAGGGAGGACUUGGCCGCGCGGCCGCCGAUUACACCCAACUCGGCUGGGAUGGCUCCGAGCCGUCUGCCCUGACGUCAGCGAGGCUCCGGCCCCGCCGCGGCAAGAUAGGCGAGCGCGGCCGGGCGCGGGUGCGGCACUAAUCACUCCCAGAUGUCCCUAAUAGCGGAGAUAAAGACGGACAGAGCGGCCGGGAAUAAAUUUGUAAUCAGGGCUCUACCAUCUGAUCAUCAAAGCGGCCCAAAUGCCGGGAGAAUUUGAAGGGAAUGCGUGUGAGGGGGGUCGCUUGGGGGAAGAGGUGAGGGUGCACUUCGCGAUGGGAACUGGCUUCGGUAGGGUAGAGCAGGGAGAACAGGGCGAGAGAUCUGUAAGUUCGGUGCACGUAAGUCGGAUACUCGGUGCUCUUUAACCUCCAUUAGCCCUCAGACCGAAGCCGUUUAGCGGUUCCAGGCUGAUUGGAGCUGCGCAGUUGCUGUGCGGGAAGCACGCGUUGCGCAGCGGCUGGGUGGUAAGGCGGCGCGAUGAGAACUGUCCGGCCCCCGGAAACGUGGGAUUGGUUUCCUCUCCCGGAGUUCUCCCCUCCCCCUUCUUUCUAAACAUUUAAAAAACACGUAGUCCGUCUCCCCCAACCCCCAUUCCCGGUAGACUUAAUCCCAACAGCAAUUCAUUGCACCGCGGAGCUUCCUCAGGGAGGGGGCUGUUGGAGCC